UCGGAUAUGGUGUAAUGGCUAACAUUGCCGCCUCUCAUGUAUCUAGAAUUCGAAUUUUCAGUACCGCGGCAGCUCGGGGUUCGAUUCCCCGUAUCCGAA
Termitomyces sp. 'cryptogamus' is the source of this 99-nucleotide non-coding RNA. Lineage: Eukaryota; Fungi; Basidiomycota; Agaricomycetes; Agaricales; Lyophyllaceae. The record is from the annotation of a GenBank genome assembly.